UGGCCUUGACAUACUAAGAACUUUCCAGAGAUGGAUUGGUGCCUUCGGGAACUUAGAUACAGGUGCUGCACGGCUGUCGUCAGCUCGUGUCGUGAGAUGUUGGGUUAAGUCCCGNAACGAGCGCAACCCUUUUCCUUAUUUGCCAGCGGGUCAUGCCGGGAACUUUAAGGAUACUGCCAGUGACAAACUGGAGGAAGGCGGGGACGACGUCAAGUCAUCAUGGCCCUUACGGCCAGGGCUACACACGUGCUACAAUGGUCGGUACAAAGGGUUGCUACCUCGCGAGAGGAUGCUAAUCUCAAAAAGCCGAUCGUAGUCCGGAUCGCAGUCUGCAACUCGACUGCGUGAAGUCGGAAUCGCUAGUAAUCGCGGAUCAGAAUGCCGCGGUGAAUACGUUCCCGGGCCUUGUACACACCGCCCGUCACACCAUGGGAGUUUGUUGCACCAGAAGUAGGUAGUCUAACCGCAAGGAGGACGCUUACCACGGUGUGGCCGAUGACUGGGGUGAAGUCGUAACAAGGUAGGCGUAGAUGA
This 534-nucleotide ribosomal RNA is filed under the name uncultured bacterium. Its description in RNAcentral is "bacterial SSU rRNA". It matches the Rfam family "Bacterial small subunit ribosomal RNA", at positions 976 to 1509 of the family's 1533-position model. The record is from RNAcentral.